AUGUUGGCGUUGUUGGCCCAAGCGCUUUGUGGACACCGUCCACCCCCUGAGGUGUUAAAGCAGAUGCAUCUGGGUGCAGGGUCACAGGGGGAGUUUGCGACCUGGUCUGACUGUGGGGCUCCCCCUGCACCCCACCAUCAGCCUUUUCCAGGCCCGCAGGGGCCCGGACCUCAGUCACUGCUCCCUCCCCGUCUCUCUCCCACAGGUCUUGGCCUCCCCAGAUCCCAGCUCUCCUGGAGAAGAGGGGGCACCUCUGUUCUCCAGAGCCCGCCUCCAGGCAGGGCCACGCCAACACAGGUGCCGGGCCCUCAGAGAGCCAGCAGCCCUGACUCUGGACCAGACUUCCUUGCCUGGGACUCUGGAGGAUGCUCCCUUGCUGCUGGAGCUGCAGAAGCUGCCGGGAUUGGCCAACACAGACUUGAGUGCCCCGAACCCCAACAUCCAGGUGACCAUCGAGGUGGUGGAGGACCCCCAGGCUGAGGUGGAGAUGGACCUGAUGGCUGAGCCCAGCAAUCGCUGGCCCCAGGGCGCCCCCAACUGGCUGCCCACCAAGGAACUCUUCUGGCCCCUAUUCUGGGGCUACCUGGAGGGCGAGGAGGGGAGGACCAAUGUCAAGGGCAGAGCACCAGGGGAAGAGGAGGAAGUGGAGGAGGAGGGUUACCCUCCAGAGUACAGUGAGACUGAGGACCAGGAGGACGACGACGAGGAAGACGACGAUGACAAGGAGCCUGGGUUCAGUGGGGCCACAGGAGGCCUGGAGCAGGGCUGGCUGUCCCCUGGGGACUGGGCCUUCAAGGAGCCAGACAGCUAUGAUGUGGACAGCUGUGAGAAGUGGCUGAACUGCAAGAGUGACUUCCUAGCCAAGUACCUGAGCCAG
Molecule: long non-coding RNA, 877 nt
Filed under: Sus scrofa (pig)
Lineage: Eukaryota; Metazoa; Chordata; Mammalia; Artiodactyla; Suidae
Description: lncRNA (ENSSSCG00030031829.1)
Source: RNAcentral